This 435-nucleotide ribosomal RNA is filed under the name Klebsiella oxytoca. RNAcentral describes it as "bacterial SSU rRNA". It matches the Rfam family "Bacterial small subunit ribosomal RNA", at positions 1 to 434 of the family's 1533-position model. The record is from RNAcentral. Lineage: Bacteria; Pseudomonadati; Pseudomonadota; Gammaproteobacteria; Enterobacterales; Enterobacteriaceae.
AAAUUGAAGAGUUUGAUCAUGGCUCAGAUUGAACGCUGGCGGCAGGCCUAACACAUGCAAGUCGAACGGUAGCACAGAGAGCUUGCUCUCGGGUGACGAGUGGCGGACGGGUGAGUAAUGUCUGGGAAACUGCCCGAUGGAGGGGGAUAACUACUGGAAACGGUAGCUAAUACCGCAUAACGUCGCAAGACCAAAGAGGGGGACCUUCGGGCCUCUUGCCAUCGGAUGUGCCCAGAUGGGAUUAGCUUGUAGGUGAGGUAACGGCUCACCUAGGCGACGAUCCCUAGCUGGUCUGAGAGGAUGACCAGCCACACUGGAACUGAGACACGGUCCAGACUCCUACGGGAGGCAGCAGUGGGGAAUAUUGCACAAUGGGCGCAAGCCUGAUGCAGCCAUGCCGCGUGUAUGAAGAAGGCCUUCGGGUUGUAAAGUACU